RNAcentral lists this long non-coding RNA (1552 nucleotides) under Priapulus caudatus. Its description in RNAcentral is "uncharacterized LOC106818675". Lineage: Eukaryota; Metazoa; Priapulida; Priapulimorpha; Priapulimorphida; Priapulidae. The record is from RNAcentral.
GCAAAGACGGGUUCGCAGACGCGCGCGGUCAGGGCUGGCGCGAGCUUCCCCGGCGUUGUAGCACGGAGGAAGCCGGCCGAGUCGGAAAGUUUCAGAGAUUCGGGGCUGUCGUUGAGCGGGAGCGGCGCAAGGAGGACGCGCGGCGCCCUCUGCAGUCCCGCUGCAGCGUCACAGAAGAAGCGCAACCUGCCCGAUCGUGCGCACGAGGAGGCGGAGUGUCAGGGAAGGUCGACGAAACGAUGCAGGAAGCACUCGUUUCCCGUCAGUGUUGAACAGGACUACGAGAAACUCAAUGCAGAGUUUGAUGAGCUGGAGCUAUUUGAACUCACUGUUGAGUAAGGAGCUAGCGGUAUGAAUGCCCACGUGAAAAUAUGAGACCAUUGAUCUGCUAUUUCUACAUUAUAUUAUCUGAGGAGGGAGUGCAAGCUGUGAGUAGUUGUGUGUCCACGUACCUGCAAUAAGUUUUUGUGUUACGUGGGAUUGGAAGGUUUAGUUUUCUAAUUUUCUCCAAUUUUUAUGCGUGUUCGUAUUAGAUUUUGAUUUAUUUUCAAUUAACUUUCCGGUGCAUGUCAGCACGUUAGCUUGUAAGCACGUAGUAAUAUCAUUACAACACAUCAUGUUCUGAAAUGAUUUUUUUUAAUAAAAAAGAGUAUCAGAUACAGGGAACGAGCAAAACUGAAAUUCCACCAGAAAUUGAACUUUGUUUUUCAAACAACUUAAAAUAAUAAUUCAUGGUAACCCUGUUUGCUAAAGUCUAGAUACAAAGUCUAUUACCAUGAGAUGUAUUUCUGCAUACAUUCAGAGCCAAUGUCAGAACCUGGCAGAUGUCUUUCACUCCAUUCACAGCAAAUAAGUUGUAAACAAUUCGUAAUAUUAACACCUUUAAUAGUGUAGACUGCACCAUAUUGUAUAUUUAGAAUGAUUUGUUGUUAAAAACAAAACCAUUUAAAACCAUAGAGAAGCACUCAGGCAGCAGAGCACAGUUCUAUUAAGCAAAACAUUGUAAACAUUAGGCAAGCUUGUGCAGGUAUUUCUGAUUGCUGCUGUUUAUGUAACUCGGCCUACUGAGUACUUUACAUAUUAUUUGUCAUAGUGUUAUGAAUCGACAAGAAAAACAGUUCAGUGGUCGCACGUUAUUUUACAUGAUUAUACCUUCUGUUAUAGAGAUACUAAGGUUCUUUUCAGCAGCUUCAUUUUUUUACAGUAAUCUGUGUAUCACAUGUUGUAGAAUAUUAUGAGCUGUAUAGUGAGCAUAUCAGUUUGUGACACGAUUUCUAUUUUGAUUCUAUUUCUAUUCUAUUCUAAUACCCCUUAAUGUAUAUCUCUGGAGUAUAAAAUACCUGGAAGUAGGAGUAGGAACAAUACUUUUUUUUAUAUUAUUUAGUAUUUUUAAUGAAAAUUUACUCUUAGUACAUGUGUUAACACUUUUUAGGUCAAAGUAAUUACUAUAGAUAAGGACAGCUUCUUACGUUACUUAUGUGAAAGUAAACGUAAAACAAUAAGAGCAAAACGUUUCCAUUGAAAUUCUAAAUUGGAUUUCUGGCUGCUCAAA